GAUCCUGGCUCAGGAUGAACGCUAGCUACAGGCUUAACACAUGCAAGUCGAGGGGCAGCAUUUUAGUUUGCUUGCAAACUAAAGAUGGCGACCGGUGCACGGGUGAGUAACACGUAUCCAACCUGCCGAUAACUCGGGGAUAGCCUUUCGAAAGAAAGAUUAAUAUCCGAUGGUAUAUUAAAACCGCAUGGUUUUACUAUUAAGAAUUUCGGUUAUCGAUGGGGAUGCGUUCCAUUAGUUUGUUGGCGGGUAACGCC
Molecule: ribosomal RNA, 257 nt
Filed under: uncultured bacterium
Lineage: Bacteria
Description: partial 16S ribosomal RNA
Rfam family: Bacterial small subunit ribosomal RNA
Source: RNAcentral